GACGAACGCUGGCGGCGUGCUUAACACAUGCAAGUCGAACGGAAAGGCCCUGCUUUUGUGGGGUGCUCGAGUGGCGAACGGGUGAGUAACACGUGAGUAACCUGCCCUGGACUUUGGGAUAACUUCAGGAAACUGGGGCUAAUACCGGAUAGGAGCUCCUGCUGCAUGGUGGGGGUUGGAAAGGUUCGGCGGUUGGGGAUGGACUCGCGGCUUAUCAGCUUGUUGGUGGGGUAGUGGAUUACCAAGGCUUUGACGGGUAGCCGGCCUGAGAGGGUGACCGGCCACAUUGGGACUGAGAUACGGCCCAGACUCCUACGGGAGGCAGCAGUGGGGAAUAUUGCACAAUGGGCGGAAGCCUGAUGCAGCAACGCCGCGUGCGGGAUGACGGCCUUCGGGUUGUAAACCGCUUUCGCCUGUGACGAAGAGUGAGUGACGGUAAUGGGUAAAGAAGCACCGGCUAACUACGUG
This 468-nucleotide ribosomal RNA is filed under the name uncultured bacterium. RNAcentral's name for it is "partial 16S ribosomal RNA". It matches the Rfam family "Bacterial small subunit ribosomal RNA", at positions 28 to 507 of the family's 1533-position model. The record is from RNAcentral.